Molecule: ribosomal RNA, 253 nt
Filed under: uncultured bacterium
Lineage: Bacteria
Description: partial 16S ribosomal RNA
Rfam family: Bacterial small subunit ribosomal RNA
Source: RNAcentral
UACGAAGGGGGCUAGCGUUGCUCGGAAUCACUGGGCGUAAAGCGCACGUAGGCGGAUUUUUAAGUCAGGGGUGAAAUCCUGGAGCUCAACUCCAGAACUGCCUUUGAUACUGGGAAUCUCGAGUCCGGAAGAGGUGAGUGGAACUGCGAGUGUAGAGGUGAAAUUCGUAGAUAUUCGCAAGAACACCAGUGGCGAAGGCGGCUCACUGGUCCGAUACUGACGCUGAGGCACGAAAGCGUGGUGAGCAAACAGG